Molecule: non-coding RNA, 109 nt
Organism: Aedes albopictus (Asian tiger mosquito)
Lineage: Eukaryota; Metazoa; Arthropoda; Insecta; Diptera; Culicidae
Source: Rfam
UGCCCAGCAACUCCUAUCCCUACCUCCUCGCGGUACCGGCCGAGCAACCUUAGGGAAGAUCGGGUAACUAACCCCGAUGGGAACUUUGGUCGUAGGCUGACAGAGAAGG